Molecule: ribosomal RNA, 274 nt
Filed under: uncultured prokaryote
Description: partial 16S ribosomal RNA
Rfam family: Bacterial small subunit ribosomal RNA
Source: RNAcentral
UACGGAGGAUCCGAGCGUUAUCCGGAUUUAUUGGGUUUAAAGGGUGCGCAGGCGGGAGAUUAAGUCGGCGGUGAAAUUUUGCAGCUCAACUGUAAAAGUGCCUUCGAAACUGGUUUCCUUGAGUGUAGAUGAAGUAGGCGGAAUUUGUGGUGUAGCGGUGAAAUGCAUAGAUAUCACGAGGAACUCCGGUUGCGCAGGCAGCUUACUAAACUACUACUGACGCUCAGGCACGAAGGCGUGGGGAGUCAAACAGGAUUAGAUACCCUCGGUAGGU